AUUGAACGCUGGCGGAAUGCUUUACACAUGCAAGUCGAACGGUAGAGGGGGCAACCCCUCGAGAGUGGCGAACGGGUGAGUAAUAUAUCGGAACGUGCCCAGUCGUGGGGGAUAACGUAGCGAAAGUUACGCUAGUACCGCAUACGAUCUAAGGAUGAAAGCGGGGGAUCGCAAGACCUCGCGCGAUUGAAGCGGCCGAUAUCAGAUUAGGUAGUUGGUGGGGUAAAGGCUCACCAAGCCAACGAUCUGUAGCUGGUCUGAGAGGACGACCAGCCACACUGGAACUGAGACACGGUCCAGACUCCUACGGGAGGCAGCAGUGGGGAAUUUUGGACAAUGGACGCAAGUCUGAUCCAGCCAUUCCGCGUGCAGGAUGAAGGCCCUCGGGUUGUAAACUGCUUUUGUACGGAACGAGAAGGUUUCUACUAAUACUAGGAGCUCAUGACGGUACUGUAAGAAUAAGCACCGGCUAACUACGUGCCAGCCGCCGCCGUAA
RNAcentral lists this ribosomal RNA (496 nucleotides) under uncultured bacterium. RNAcentral's name for it is "partial 16S ribosomal RNA". It matches the Rfam family "Bacterial small subunit ribosomal RNA", at positions 30 to 523 of the family's 1533-position model. The record is from RNAcentral.